AUGUGAUUUGAAUUAUGAAAUAUCUAAAUUUUCUACAAAAUUUUUCUUUAAAUUAUGCUAAAGUAGCAUAAAUGUAAAUCUACAAUGCCUGAUUGAAUUUUAUAUUUGAAUAACCCCAGUUGGGUUUUUUUUUUAUUUUACCAUUAAUUUUGAAUGACCGGACAAAUAUAAUACCAGGAUAAAUACAGGAUGAAGGAGACUAAACAUUUUCCAUAAACUCAAGCAAAUUCAACCAAAUAUUUUGGAAUUCCAGUACAGUAUGAAAGUCAAAUUUCAAUUUACAAUUCGAAGUGGGGUAAGCAGAACACUUGUUUUACAAUUCGGCUUCUAAUUCAACCAAGUCCAUCGAAUUUUAUGAGUUUCAAACUUCGUUAAUCGUCGCUUAUCUACGAUUCCACAUCACACUGAAGCUUCAGUUGUAGGCCUACCGGGUUACUAACAUAGAUUUAAUAAUCAAAACUUGUAAACUGAAUAUUUUGUAACUUCAGAAAUGAAAUUGAUUUUUAAUGUUGAAAAUAUAAGAUUCAAUC
This 530-nucleotide long non-coding RNA is filed under the name Nilaparvata lugens (brown planthopper). RNAcentral describes it as "uncharacterized LOC120350165". The record is from RNAcentral. Lineage: Eukaryota; Metazoa; Arthropoda; Insecta; Hemiptera; Delphacidae.